UGGCACUUUUGCGCUGCUCCAGAGUGAUUUCAACACAAACAGUGUGCAAGGUAUUUUCUUGGAAGUGCCUGCCAUUUUCCACACAGUCUCCAGUGACGGCUUCUUAGAUGGUUCUGUGUUACAAACCAUCUAUCAGUGGUUUAAUGGAACCUGACUGAAGUUAUUGACUGUUUAUCUUGAUGCAGCCAACUUCUAAUAUACAGUGGUGGAUGGUCACCAGAGGAUUGUAAAGCCUGCAGGAACA
Centropristis striata (black sea bass) is the source of this 244-nucleotide long non-coding RNA. RefSeq lists it as uncharacterized. The record is from RefSeq and is a predicted model, not a curated record. NCBI's taxonomy places the organism in Eukaryota, Metazoa, Chordata, Actinopteri, Perciformes, Serranidae. The transcript is spliced from 3 exons.